This 425-nucleotide ribosomal RNA is filed under the name uncultured bacterium. RNAcentral describes it as "bacterial SSU rRNA". It matches the Rfam family "Bacterial small subunit ribosomal RNA", at positions 32 to 507 of the family's 1533-position model. The record is from RNAcentral.
AACGCUGGCGGCAGGCUUAACACAUGCAAGUCGAGCGCGUAGCAAUACGAGCGGCAGACGGGUGAGUAACGCGUGGAAUCUACCCAACCCUACGGAAUAACGCAUGGAAACGUGUGCUAAUACCGUAUACGCCCUUAGGGGGAAAGAUUUAUCGGGGAUGGAUGAGCCCGCGUUGGAUUAGCUAGUUGGUGGGUAAAGGCCUACCAAGGCGACGAUCCAUAGCUGGUCUGAGAGGAUGAUCAGCCACAUUGGGACUGAGACACGGCCCAAACUCCUACGGGAGGCAGCAGUGGGGAAUAUUGGACAAUGGGCGAAAGCCUGAUCCAGCAAUGCCGCGUGAGUGAUGAAGGCCUUAGGGUUGUAAAGCUCUUUUACCCGGGAUGAUAAUGACAGUACCGGGAGAAUAAGCUCCGGCUAACUCCGUG